GACGAACGCUGGCGGCGUGCCUAAUACAUGCAAGUAGAACGCUGAAGGAGGAGCUUGCUUCUCUGGAUGAGUUGCGAACGGGUGAGUAACGCGUAGGUAACCUGCCUGGUAGCGGGGGAUAACUAUUGGAAACGAUAGCUAAUACCGCAUAAGAGUAGAUGUUGCAUGACAUUUACUUAAAAGGUGCAAUUGCAUCACUACCAGAUGGACCUGCGUUGUAUUAGCUAGUUGGUGGGGUAACGGCUCACCAAGGCGACGAUACAUAGCCGACCUGAGAGGGUGAUCGGCCACACUGGGACUGAGACACGGCCCAGACUCCUACGGGAGGCAGCAGUAGGGAAUCUUCGGCAAUGGACGGAAGUCUGACCGAGCAACGCCGCGUGAGUGAAGAAGGUUUUCGGAUCGUAAAGCUCUGUUGUAAGAGAAGAACGAGUGUGAGAGUGGAAAGUUCACACUGUGACGGUAUCUUACCAGAAAGGGACGGCUAACUACGUGCCAGCAGCCGCGGUAAUACGUAGGUCCUGAGCGUUGUCCGGAUUUAUUGGGCGUAAAGCGAGCGCAGGCGGUUAGAUAAGUCUGAAGUUAAAGGCUGUGGCUUAACCAUAGUACGCUUUGGAAACUGUUUAACUUGAGUGCAAGAGGGGAGAGUGGAAUUCCAUGUGUAGCGGUGAAAUGCGUAUAUAUAUGGAGGAACACCGGUGGCGAAAGCGGCUCUCUGGCUUGUAACUGACGCUGAGCUCGAAAGCGUGGGGAGCAAACAGG
RNAcentral lists this ribosomal RNA (762 nucleotides) under uncultured Streptococcus sp. Its description in RNAcentral is "bacterial SSU rRNA". It matches the Rfam family "Bacterial small subunit ribosomal RNA", at positions 28 to 776 of the family's 1533-position model. The record is from RNAcentral. Lineage: Bacteria; Bacillati; Bacillota; Bacilli; Lactobacillales; Streptococcaceae.